RNAcentral lists this ribosomal RNA (324 nucleotides) under uncultured Chloroflexota bacterium. Its description in RNAcentral is "bacterial SSU rRNA". It matches the Rfam family "Bacterial small subunit ribosomal RNA", at positions 28 to 351 of the family's 1533-position model. Lineage: Bacteria; Bacillati; Chloroflexota. The record is from RNAcentral.
GAUAAACGCUGGCGGCGUGCCUAACACAUGCAAGUCGAACGAAGAGGCCCCUUCGGGGGUACUUCAGUGGCGGACGGGUGAGUAACACGUAGGUGACCUGCCCCGAAGUGAGGAAUAACAAUUCGAAAGGAUUGCUAAUGCCCCAUGUGACCGGUGAGAUUAGACGCUCAUCGAUUAAAGCAGCAAUGCGCUUCGGGAGGGGCCUGCGCCCCAUCAGCUAGUUGGUAGGGUAAUGGCCUACCAAGGCUACAACGGGUAGGGGGCCUGAGAGGGUGACCCCCCACAUUGGCACUGACACACGGGCCAAACUCCUACGGGUGGCAG